Long non-coding RNA from Sapajus apella (tufted capuchin), 3378 nucleotides. RefSeq lists it as uncharacterized. Lineage: Eukaryota; Metazoa; Chordata; Mammalia; Primates; Cebidae. The record is from RefSeq and is a predicted model, not a curated record. The transcript is spliced from 3 exons.
UUAGAUACCAUUUCUUUUUUAUUAAAGCAAGACCAUGUCAUCAUUACAAUCUGCUACUGAGCAUGUCUCUCACAAAGGUAUCAGACAGUAAUUAUUUUCUCCUGAAACAAGAAUAUGUGUUGAAUAAAUAUAGAAUGAAGUUUAAUUUAUGUUAGAGUUUUAUAAAGUAUAUAUAUCUUCAAGUCCACAUGUGGCCAUGUUAUUACUGUAGAAUCUUAAAUCAUUAAGAAAAAAUUACAAACUCCAUUUAUGUAAACAGAUUCUAACGCAGUCCAACUUGUUUUGUUAAAGUCUUAUUUGAUAUAAAAGGGGAGCUAUUUUCAGGGUCCACCACCCACCUACUCUUUAAAGACAAAUAUUACUCAAAUAUUAAUGUUCUCCACCAGGUAGACUAAGAAGAACACAACUGCAGAGUCUUUAAUUUCAAUAUUCCACGUCAAUUAUCUUAUUUAAUGAGUUUAAAUCAAUAAUGGUUUAAUUUAAGCAUUCUUUUUUUACCAUUUUAGUAUAAACAUGACCAUUGUUGGUUCUGAACAUUUCUUGGCCAGAGAAUGAAUCCCUUUGUUUCUUGAUUUCCAGCUCUCCUGAGCUGCUGUAUUCCAAAAUAAAAAGGAAGGAUUUUAAAACAGGAUUCCAAAGAAGCUCUAUGCUUCUUUUUUUCUAUUUGAGUAAUUGCUAAUAAGAUUAGAAGAGUCAAUGGUUAGACCUGAGACCAAACUGCAGCGAGGCUUAUUUGAGCUCAGUGUGGAUGUUUUAGGCUCACACACGGCAUCCCCAGCCUGGUGAGAGGCAAACUGCCCUUUGCCACAGAUGCAUCCUCAGAGGUGGAGUCUAUAAUCAGGUCACUCAGCAAAUGUCCAGCACCUCCUUGGUGCCAGGCUCACCAUGCUGAGUCCUGGGGCUGCGGCCUUGAAUGAGAGUGCUGGGUUCCUGGCAUCUCAGUACCUGCAGAACCAUGCAGGAGGUAGAGGCAGCAAACGCAGGGCGGGUGAGUCACAGUGGGGCAGGAGAGUCAAGUGGUGUGCAGCCACAGAGGGGCAGACAAGGACUUGUUUAGACAGGGCUGUCAAAAAGACCUUGUUGAGGAGGUGGGCCUGGAACCAGCCAUAACUAUAAAUCCUGAGUGUGAAAUCCCAGAGCUGAAAGUAACCUCGAAGUCACAGGGUAUAACCACACUGGUCACAGAUGCAGAGAUUGCAGGACCAGAACAGAACCUCCUGUGGGAAGAGGCAGAGCCACCGCAGGACCCAGGAGACUGGGUUCCCAGGGCUAUCCUGCCUUUUGCAGGGAGACUCGCCUAUGGGUUCUAUUGUAUAAGGUAGAUUCUGAGACGGAAGGAUCUCUCCAAUUCCUAGAUUGUAGAAUUCAGAAACCGAGAGCGAGGCAGCAUUUGCCACACGUGGCAAAUUCACCAGGUCAUGAAUCCUGUCAUAGACUGAGUUUUCUGGAUUAAAAAAUUACAUCAAUUCCAAGUCAAUGGAUACCAAACCAUCUUGACUUUCUACUGCAUUGACUCAGCCAAGAAAUUAGCUCACCUCCUGAGAGGUGGGUGGAGGCCUGCCAGAGGUUUAUAGAAACCUUCUGAGGAGCUGCUCUGCUAAGGGUGAGCUUGGCGCUCCUUGCAUUCCCGGGGCCUUCCCUCUGAAGAACGCAUUGCUGGAGAGGAGCCCUUGCUUUUAGUUCUCAGCUCUCAAGAGUAGGUGCUUUCCUCUGAGCCUGGAGUCUUGUCUUUGUCAAUAAGGCCACUUAUGGAGGCUUGGAAGUUGUGUGGAAGAGGCCAGGGGAGGAGGAUCUGGCUGGAGCAGCUGGGGUAGAGAAAACCCCCACCAUCCAGGAGCCCUGGCUCCAGAAAUAGUAGAAUGAAGGGUGAAGGGCAGUGAGAGGACCCCAGCCAUCUUAGCUGAACUGCACCGAGGCUUCCUGCAGAACUGGGCUCCUCUUGCUAACCUUGGGCCCCUUUCCAUGUGUUCAAGGCUCUCCUUGGAGUCAUGUUGUCCAAUUAUGUGGCACUUGUGGGGCUGAGCUCAGAUCUGGGGUUUGCAGGAUUCAAGACGCCUUCACAUGGGGUAGAGCCUAGAUGUGGCAUGGGGGACAGCUCAUGCAUGAGGUGCAUUUGGCCUUGAGAAGAGACCCAGAGGGGAGCAGGCUGGUCCAGUGCUGGGAGGACAGUCCUAUGGAGCAUUAGGAAUAUCAGCAGGGUAAGUUUCAGACUCUGGUUCCUACAAGACUAGGCAACUUCAGUCAUGUCCUGCUCAGAGGAGGCAUCUCGCACUGGCUGAUCUCGUGGAUAAUCGCACAACUGGUCAUGAGAAAUGCUACGGUGUGGCCUGUCACAGGAGCCGAUGUCACACAUAUUUAAGGCUAACACACAUCUGAAGCUUUGAUAGGGCUGUGCUUAUGUCUGCCUUUCACAGAAGAGCAGAAAUGGAGAAAUGAGAGGCCAGGGUGGGUCUGAGGCCAUUCUCCAGUCACUUCAGGCUUGGCUCGCAGCCCCACUUCCUGCCCCACAGCCUCCUGCCCCUGCCGCCAGAACGGCUGAGCCUGCUGAUGACAAAGCCACAGCUCACAGGCUGACAAUUUUGUCUGGACUUCUAUCAAGGCCGGGACGGCAGUCAAUAGCACAUGCAGGAAAUUUUAAAAGAUCAAGAGCAGCUAACAACAAAAUCCACUCUGGGAUGUUUUUAACCAAACAAUCAAGGAUUCAGUGCUUUCCGGGGGUGAGGACCAAAACAGAGCAGGACUGGCAGCCAGCAUCACCUCUUCCAUCUUCCGUCUGUCCUGAACCAGGCAGUACAGCCUAAAAAUAGCGCCUGGACCUCACACCAUCAGUGCUUUUGUUACUUACUCUCUUUGGUCUUUUGAAAAACAUAUUCAUCGGGACUGAGAGUCUCCCAUCAUUUGUAUUUAUAGAGUCCUUUUUUUCUGAAGUCGUGAACGUGCCUAUUCUCAUUUCUGGGAAGUCAGUGGCAGGACUUCGGUGAGGGGAAAGUGGCUUCAGCUGGGUUAUAGGGGGAGGUGGUAGAAGAGUGAGGUGAGAGCACCAGGCAUCUGGGGAUGGAGCCCGUGAGGGCUCAGUGGCUUUCUGACUCUUCCUAAGAAAGAACAGUGCCCUCCUUGCCCUUCUCUGCCCAAAGCCCUCCCCAGGCUUCCCUCUGAACCACACAUUUCCUAGGAGGCCUUCUGGGAAGCUGAGCUUCAUGGUGCCUCUCGCUCCUCCUUUAAGUCACACUCAGAGGUGCCUGCCUCUGGCACGUCUCAGGAGGGCAGGGGCCGAGCCUCUGCUCUGUUCCGGAUGCCCGCAGACCCUGAUUGACACAGCCCACAAGCUUGAGUGGAGGGGGCGCCUAGUCCUCAGCACUAAAUGGCAAUACAGACCUA